Molecule: long non-coding RNA, 375 nt
Filed under: Zostera marina
Lineage: Eukaryota; Viridiplantae; Streptophyta; Magnoliopsida; Alismatales; Zosteraceae
Description: long non-coding RNA (ZMAR_LNC003939)
Source: RNAcentral
UCGCCUUGCCUAACACACAUGACUUAUAUUUAUUGAACUUGGAAAUAACAGAAGGCAAACGAUUUGACGAAACUACAUGACGAAAAACCGACUCAUUAGGGUGACCCAGCCGUUGAUGCCAGACAUCCAGAUUAGCUUGAGUCGAAUGAAGGAUUGUAGGUGGAGUCGGGACGAUCUUGUAGAGGGAUCCAUCAUGUUGUCCUUGAAGGGUACCUUGUGAGUAAUUCGGUCCUUCACAAAAACACGAAAAAGUUAAACACAAAAUAACAAUUAUUAUCCCUAUAAAAUUGCUGAACGGAUAAUAACAGAGUUUUAAGUGGCGGAACAUGUAGAAUAUUGCGUAAUGAAAAAAGAGAGGAUCUACUUGCAAAAUUA